UACGUAGGUGGCGAGCGUUAUCCGGAUUUACUGGGCGUAAAGCGCUUGUAGGUGGCUCUGUAAGUUGGGCGUGAAAACACCAGGCUUAACCUGGUGACGCCGUCCAAUACUGCGGGGCUUGAGGAUGUCAGAGGAAGGUGGAAUUCCUGGUGUAGUGGUGAAAUGCGUAGAUAUCAGGAGGAACACCCGUGGCGAAGGCGGCCUUCUGGGGCAUUCCUGACACUGAGAAGCGAAAGCUAGGGGAGCAAACAGG
This 253-nucleotide ribosomal RNA is filed under the name uncultured bacterium. RNAcentral describes it as "partial 16S ribosomal RNA". It matches the Rfam family "Bacterial small subunit ribosomal RNA", at positions 524 to 776 of the family's 1533-position model. The record is from RNAcentral.